Molecule: non-coding RNA, 27 nt
Filed under: Mus musculus (house mouse)
Lineage: Eukaryota; Metazoa; Chordata; Mammalia; Rodentia; Muridae
Source: RNAcentral
UCAAAGGCAUUUGCUGGCUUUCACAGG